UGGCUCAGUUGGUAGAGCAUGGUGUUUGCAACGCCAGCAUGGUGUGUGUGCCAGGGUUGUGGGUUAGAUUCCCAC
Molecule: transfer RNA, 75 nt
Filed under: Salmo salar (Atlantic salmon)
Lineage: Eukaryota; Metazoa; Chordata; Actinopteri; Salmoniformes; Salmonidae
Rfam family: tRNA
About the family: Transfer RNA (tRNA) molecules are approximately 80 nucleotides in length. Their secondary structure includes four short double-helical elements and three loops (D, anti-codon, and T loops). Further hydrogen bonds mediate the characteristic L-shaped molecular structure. tRNAs have two regions of fundamental functional importance: the anti-codon, which is responsible for specific mRNA codon recognition, and the 3' end, to which the tRNAs corresponding amino acid is attached (by aminoacyl-tRNA synthetases). tRNAs cope with the degeneracy of the genetic code in two manners: having more than one tRNA (with a specific anti-codon) for a particular amino acid; and 'wobble' base-pairing, i.e. permitting non-standard base-pairing at the 3rd anti-codon position.
Source: Rfam by way of RNAcentral